RNAcentral lists this long non-coding RNA (6068 nucleotides) under Sus scrofa (pig). RNAcentral describes it as "lncRNA (ENSSSCG00015008506.1)". Lineage: Eukaryota; Metazoa; Chordata; Mammalia; Artiodactyla; Suidae. The record is from RNAcentral.
UUUUUUUUCUUUUUUUUUUCUUCAGAUUUUGCUUUAAAUUUAUCUGUCUCCCAAUCCAGUAUUUCAAAAGCUAGUCUUGUUUUCUAAGUCUUUUUGUGUCAGUUUAUCAACCUGACAUAAAAGCCUGGAAUUCUCCCACUUCAUUUUUCCUUGUGCCUCUUUUUCAGACAGGUCCAGAGCUUACCCUUAAGAGCCAUCAGCAGGCAGGAGCAAACGGGUACUUACUGAAUCUGAAACUGCGACGUGAAUAAAACUUUCGAGGAUGGAAGAACUCAGCUGAUCCAUGACAUCGAUCAUAGGCCUGUCGUCGUCCUGCACAGAAGGGAGGCGAUUACUCUGCGUGGGAAAAUGAAUCCCUCCAUCAUCCCCACCGCCUUUGUUCAGCACAUGAAGCAGAACUGCUUGCAAGGCAGUGAUAAGGGCUUUCCCACGGAAAAGUGAGGGCUGAGGCAGUGAAAGGUAGUCGGUGACACUCCCUAUGAUUCCCAGUUUAGUCUUACAAGGCUUCAGGGAUGCUAAGUAGAGCUCCAGUUUCGCAUGGUACUGAAAAGACAUGUACCUGAAUUGCACAAACUCAUGCGCAUAAACACAGUCAGCCUGGAACCUAAAUCUCAGUCUCACACAUUAUUCAUGAUGCUGUCGUGAACGUGAAGAAAUGGAAAACCCACAAGAAGACGCUUUGCCAGGCCACAAAAAUGCACUUUCCUUAUGUCACUGAUCUGCUAAAAUAACUGAGAAAUUGCUGACUGUGACUGAAUUUCAGUUCCAAAGAAACUGCACUGGAUACUGACCAUACACUCUCUGCGGUAUCUAGGUUAUGCACAGCUAUUUGGAAAAGAAGCAAAUUGGAAAAAGCACAAGAGAGAAUAUCUUAUAGGCCAUUCUUCUACAUGAAUAUGCAUGACGUGUAUUUGCCACCCUUUGUCACAGAGAGGCUCAGACAUAUGAAAUGAUUUACUUAGAAGCCUUAUAGGAAAGCUUCAGAGUGUCCUCAUUUAUGUAGGAAUGAGAACGGCUUCAAAAAAGUUGUGGUUGAAAAAAAAGACAACCAAGCUCAUGGAUAUGGGGAAUGGACUGGUUGGUCACCAGAGGUGGGCGGAGAGGAAGUGAUGAAAUGGGAAAAGGAGUCUAAGUGUAUAAACUGCCAGUUAUAAAGUAAAUAAUUCAUGGGAAUGUAAUGUACGACAUGGCAACUAGAGUUAAUUAUACUGUAUUGUAUAUUUGAAAAUUGCUCAGAGUAGAUCUUAAAAGUUCUUUUCACAAGAAAAAAUACCCUGUCGCCUUGUACAGUGAUGCAUGUUAGCUCCUUAUUGUGGCGAACAUUUCACAAUAUACACAGACAUGGAAUCACUCUGCUGUACUCCUGAAACUAAUGACAGUGCAUGUCAAUUAUACCUCAGUAAAAAAAAACUAUACAAAAAAAAGUUGCAGCUGAUCAAAGAACGCAACGUAUGAGCAAUGUUCUCAACACAGCCUGCUGGAAUAGCAGUUAACCUGGGCUUUAAAGGCGUAUAUAUCUGGCUUUCAUUUCUAGCUCUGCCACAUCUUUGCCGUUGAUUUGGAGCAAAUCAUUUAACCUCCCUGAAGUUCAGUCUCAGAAUCUUCGCAAUGCAGAUAAUAACAGCACCGAUUCUUAGGUGGUUGUGAGGGUUCGACAAGAGGAUAUGUACAAAGCACAGCUCAGUGCCCAACACGUACAUAGUAAUUAUCAUUAUCAUUAUUAUCAGAAUUAGAGACUGAAUCGAGGUUUAUCAAAAUACAGCAUGUCCGACAGCACAUUUACCAAAUCCCAGAGAGGUCCUAAAACACGUCAGGAAGCUAGCUGAAGAAAUGCGGGCAGGAAGGAGUGGGUACCUUUGAAAAUGAUUUGGCAAGACAAUGAUCAUUUUGAGGAUCAUAAAACCAAGACUAGUGAUUUAAAACAAGACAAUGGAAAGCAGUAUUUUUUUUAAAGAAGUAACCGACAUAAAAAUCUGGUCCUUCUUUCACCAACUUACACAUAGAGUUUGGCACCUGUGCCGACAGGUCAUGAACCUUAACACCUAAACCUGGGUGGACAGCACUUGACCGAGUGCAGAAUAGCUGGGGUCAACCAUGGUUAUUAAUUGGCUUACUUCUUUUAUCUCAAGGGGACAUGUCUUAUUGUGAUGCCAUUUUUCUACUACUAUUGAGAUUAAACCAUGCUCAUUUUCAAUGGGAUGAAUUAUUUUCUCAAUAAUAUCUUAAUUCUAUGUACACUGAACAUUACGAAAGAAAAUGACCUAUAGCCAAAUCUUCAGAUUCUUCACUUGUUCACAAAGCACCAUGUCUUAGAGAAUCGGAAAUGGUCUAUUCUGUUGCCCUCAAAAUAUAUAACGUCUCUCUUGUCGAUCAAGAGUACAAUUUCACACUUAAAAACACACCCUGACUCAAAAAUUAUUUGUUGACCUCAUGUGUGAUGGAAAGAAUAUAAACCAGUACUGAAUUCUUUAUAGUUUUCAAUCUAAACGUUGAAGCUGUUGAAAGACAUGAAUUGGAAAAUUCAGAAAAAUGAUUCAUACCUCAGGCUGACCCAGGGCAACAAAUAAAGCUCGAAUUUCCUUGAGUAUUAAAACAGACAGUUUGCGUGUGGCCACCUGGAAACUGCAGAGCAAAACCAGAGCAAAACCUUCCACGGCAUGGAGCACACUGCAAUGCGGCCCUCGCUCCGACUGGACUCGGUGGCUGGAGCCAUUGGCGAUUAGCUGUCAUGCAAAGAGAACACUCUGUGUUCAGAAAAACAGGAUGGAAGAAGAAACCGCCCUUAUGUGCACCUGUUCCAGCACAUUUGACCUUGUAAAACUAAAAUAAAUUACAAUGGCUUAGAACCAGUCAUGUCUAUGCAUUCAUUAUUAUUCAUGAAAUAUCAUACAUGUCUUUUUGUUACUUUGGAAAACCAUCACCUCUCUGUUACCUCUGAUAAAAAAUAGCUUUUCAAAGGCUACUCAUAUGAAUAAAAACAAGACUGCUUCUAUCCAUACCAUCUGAGAUGAUACCAUAUAUUUCAUUAAAGUAACCUCAUUUGAUUUUACUUAAACCUAUAGACUUUUCAGUCGCUGUUAAAUUGAAUAUCACAUUUUCAAAUAUUUACUUUCUGAUCAGACUUGAAGACUUGUUUUCAUGUUAGAUUUUAAUCUGGGUUUUGCACAUUAAUGUGAUGGGUUCUGAAAGUUUCCAAACCAAGUGAGUUCAAAACAAAAGCAAGACAGACCACAGAGCAGAUCCCACCAUCAUUUCAGUCUUCCUUUUACAAGCACGUGUAUCCUUGUUUUUCUCCCUGUCACCUUUUGGCAAGCGUAGAAGGAGGAAUGAGCUGAACCUCAUCUCUGGGGUCAGCCCACCUGGGAUCUUGGCUGCUCCCAAGCCCGAGCAUGCCUGACCCUCAGUUAGGCUCCUCCCAUGCCAGACCCUUCCUCCAUCUGCUCAUUGCCAAUGUCAAGUCACACUGCCCUGGUUCUCCUCUGACAACACUCCUCAACUUGCUCUUCAAAAUGUUCUCAUUAAGUUUAUGAUCCAGGACUGACGCAGGAAAUGAUGAAGAAGCCAAAAGACUAUGUUCUUUGGAUAUUGGAGAAAAUAACCAGCUGUUGCUUAUUAGAAAAAAAUAACAACUGGUAGGCAGCUAACUUUCGUAUAUUGAUGUCCAUAUCCAGCUCUAGACACAUAUCCAUAUUCAUCUCCACAUCCGCCUAGAUCCAUAUGCAUAUCCAGCUCUAGAGCACAUCCAUAUCUAGAUCCAUGGCCACGUCUAGAUCCAUAGCCCUAUGUGUAUCCAGCUCUAUACCCAUAUUCAUGUCUAUGUCCAUAUCCAGCUCUAGAUCCAUAUCCAUCUAGUCUAUAUCCAUAUCCAACUAGAUCCAUACCCAUGUCCAGCUCUAGAUCCAUGUCCAUCUAGUCUAUAUCCGUAUCCAACUAGAUCCAUACCCAUGUCCAGCUCUAGAUCCAUGUCCAACUCUAUAUUCAUAUCUCUGUCCAUAUCUAACUCUAGCUUCAUAUCCAUAUCUAGAUCCAUAUCUAGCUCUAUGUCUCUUCCUGUGGCUACUUGCUCUGACAAACAGAUUGGUAAUCACAAUUUUCUGAAGGAAAACCAUUUCUACUCCCUACACGGCCUUGUUAAUAUUAGUAAAUCUAACAUGAUGUGGCAUGCCACCUGCUCAGUUUCUUGGUCACAAUUUCGGCGGGUGGAAAAAUGAAGGGCCACCACUAGGGAGAAAGUUUCUAGGUAGCUGAAGGUAAGAAAUCCCAAGGUUCUCUGGGCUGCCGGCUAUUUACAUACAUAAUACAUGUGGAAUAUAAAUCAGUGGGGAGAGGGUGAACAUCACCUCCGAAUUUCUGAUUUUGUUGGCUUGCUCGUAAACUUUGCCUUGAGUUUGUAUGACCAGUUUCCACUGGGUGAGCAGCUGGAGCAGUAACUUGAGGGAUGAAUCGAGGAGUGUGUGGUGCAUGUCAUUUACUUCCCGGAGCAGGAAGUUGGUAAAGCCAAACAGGACAUCUUCCCGCCAGUCCGAGAAGUCCACCAGCAGACCCUGAAGAGAGUUCUGUGCAAUAUGUCGCAGUUCAUCGUCCAUGUGAAUCGAGAGCCUGGGAGACGGAUAAAGACAAUAAAAUCAUUUACUUGAUUAGCUUUGCUUCUAGAGCUCUAAAGGAACACACACGGGUCUCCUCUCGGUAGGUGAACAUGAGCCACCCUCCCCUGACAUAUUAUUAUAUUCUUUACUCAGCUCCCCUGAUGUUAACAUCUUACACAACCCUGGCACUUUAUCAAAACUGAGAAGGUCUGUGCUACGGUGCAAUGCUAUUGACUAAAAGAGAGAUUCAGAUUUCACCAGUGUUCCAUCAAUGUCCUUUUUUUCUGUUUCAGAAUGCAAUCCAAGAUACCGCAUGGCCUUUAGCUGCACAUGAAUAUUUUAAAAGACAUUACCAACUACAGAACAAAUGAGUAUCAACACUUACCACGUUUUGGGAUAGUACUCAAGAACCCCUCCAGAAGCGGAAAUGAACAAUCAAAGCUUUGUUACGGGUGGAACUGUGUCUCCUCCCCAGUUCACUUGCUGAAAUCCAAGCCCUCAAGACCUCAGAAUGGGACAUUCUGUGGUGAUAGGGUCAUGGCAGAAGGAAUUAGCUACAUUAGGACGGAGUCAUGCUGGAGUAGGGUGGCACCCACAUGACCGGCGUCCUUUUUAGGAAGGGGAAAUUUAGAGGCAGAAACACGCAGGGAGAAUGCCAUGAAAAGACAAAGGCAGAGGUCAGGGUGAUGCUUCUGUGAGCCAAGGAAGGCCAAACGAUGCCAGAAACCACCAGACGCUAGGAGAGAGGCGCAGAGCAGAUUCGCGCUCACAGACUCAGAAGGAAGCAACCUGGAUGACAUUUGAUCUUGGACUUCUAGCCUCUGGGACAGUGGGACAAUACAGUUCUGUUACUCAAGCCACGCAGUUGGUGCGGUUUUAUUAGGGCAGCCCUAGAACACAUGAAACGAGCCAAGCGCCGAUCUUCAGAGUCAAAAGUCAAAAUGAAGACACGUCAUGGCCUAUGUAAAUGACACUUUUAAGGAAGGGCCAAUACCGUCAGUUUUCCCACGGCAUUCACUCUAUUCUUCAUCUCACUUGGCCGUCACCCACAAUCUGAAACCUGGAAUCUGUUUUACCUUAAACCGACAGGGCAGGACCAACUCUGAGAGCCCCAAGGUGGUGUAGCUCAUGCUAUUUCUGGUGAUCGCUCCUCCUGAAAUAACGGUAUUCACUGGCCUGACCAGUGAAAACAGUCAAAAAUACUCCUGCAGCGUGAAGAGACAGGACCGGGGAGGGGAGAGAGCGCUGGAAAUAAAAAGGCCUGGGUGAUAACAAAGUGGAAUGUUUUGUGGAAGAAAAAGGGCCGGUGUCACGGAACCGAGACGGAGUGAAAAUGAUGUAUCCAGGUAGGUCUGAGCAGCAGCAGGUGAGGGAGAAGGGGAAGAAGCCGUGAGAAGGGCCAGAGUCCCUCCCCGCCUCUUUCCUUCGAGAGUCUGAGCAGGGAGCUGCCCAUCAGACACGGCCGACGCAAUUUCUUCCUCC